This 333-nucleotide ribosomal RNA is filed under the name Triticum aestivum (bread wheat). RNAcentral describes it as "partial small subunit ribosomal RNA". Lineage: Eukaryota; Viridiplantae; Streptophyta; Magnoliopsida; Poales; Poaceae. The record is from RNAcentral.
AUGGGGGACCUUAAUGAGCUCUUGUAUGAUAUGGAUAAAAAUAAUGCUAAUGUGAAUUACCGUCGUUUGUAUGCUUUUCGUGCUUUGGUCAAGAACUGUGGUUUUUUUGAUUUGGGAUUUUCGGGGCCUACUUAUACUUGGACUAACAGGAGAUUUUUUUCUAAACCUACUUAUGAAAGGCUUGAUAGAGGUUUGGUUAAUCCUAAUCGGUGUGCUGAGUACCCGCUCACUAAAGUUCUUAAUCUUCCUAUUAUUCUUAGUGAUCAUGCACCCAUCCUUAUCACCACUGAAGGUCAGCACAAAAAACCGAAAAAAAGCUUCAAGUUUGAUAAU